Molecule: ribosomal RNA, 253 nt
Filed under: uncultured bacterium
Lineage: Bacteria
Also listed under: 1 other name
Description: partial 16S ribosomal RNA
Rfam family: Bacterial small subunit ribosomal RNA
Source: RNAcentral
UACGAAGGGGGCUAGCGUUGUUCGGAAUUACUGGGUGUAAAGGGUUCGUAGGCGGUGUGGCAAGUCGGGAGUGAAAUCUCUGGGCUCAACCCAGAGUCUGCUUCCGAAACUGCUGUGCUUGAGUGUGGGAGAGGCGCGUGGAAUUGCAGGUGUAGCGGUGAAAUGCGUAGAUAUCUGCAGGAACACCCGUGGCGAAAGCGGCGCGCUGGACCACUACUGACGCUGAGGAACGAAAGCUAGGGGAGCAAACAGG